Molecule: ribosomal RNA, 254 nt
Filed under: uncultured bacterium
Lineage: Bacteria
Description: partial 16S ribosomal RNA
Rfam family: Bacterial small subunit ribosomal RNA
Source: RNAcentral
UACGGGGGGGGGCAAGCGUUGUUCGGAAUUACUGGGCGUAAAGGGCUUGUAGGUGGCCAACUAAGUCAGACGUGAAAUCCCUCGGCUUAACCGGGGAACUGCGUCUGAUACUGGAUGGCUGGAGUGUGGGAGAGGGAUGCGGAAUUCCAGGUGUAGCGGUGAAAUGCGUAGAUAUCUGGAGGAACACCGGUGGCGAAGGCGGCAUCCUGGACCAUUACUGACACUGAAAAGCGAAAGCCAGGGGAGCAAACGGG